UUUUUUUUUUUUUUUUGAGGAAACAGAAUCCAUUCUGUGGGAAGCUGGAGGAAAACUGUGAUGGGCAAAGUUCCAAGAUGGCUUCUGAGAUCUCCUUCCCCCACAUAGUGUUUUGUAUAACUCCUUCCUUUUGAGUGUAGGUAGAACCUGGGGCUUGCUUCUAACAGAAUCACAUUCAUGAUCAUGCUAUAUUAUGUGGCAGAGGUAAAGGGAUUUUGCAGAGGUGAUUAGGGCCCUCAUCAGUUGACUGAAUCACAGGGGAGAUUAUCAUGGGUGGGCCUGAUCUACUUGGAGAAGCCCUUCAAUAAAGGUUUAGAGGAGUUUCUGCUGUGGUGUAAUGGGAUUGAUGACAUCUUUGGAGUCCUGGGAUGUCCUUAGAUUCCUGGCCAGCACAGUGGGUUAAGGACAUAGUGUUGCCACAGCUGCAGUUUGGAUGGCAACUGUGGCCCAGAUCUGAUCCCUGGCCUGGGAACUCCACAUGUUGCAGGUGGCCAAAAAAAGGGGCUUAAGAAAUAGAGACUCUCUCUCCACUUCUGACCUUGAAGAAGAGAGUCACAAGAAGAUGACUUCUGUCACCAACCCAAGGGAGUGUGGAAGCAAACUCUUCCCAUUAUUGUGUGUUUGUAUUUAAUUAUAUGUAUUUUAUAUAUAGAGAGAGAGAGAAGCUAUCUGGGCAUUCCUUAGCCUACUGAAAUUCAUCAAUUAUUAACCAUCAAACUUGGUCUUGCUACAAGUCUGGAUGGGAGUAGCAAGCUAGUGGUCCCAGGAACCAGAUGCAGUGGGAAAGCAGAGACUUUGGAUCCAGCUGUCCUACUGCAGAACUUCUGAAGGUUCCUGCUGAGAGGGCGGGCUGGUAUUUAUGGCUGAGGGUACAUUUGCACAUCAAUUGCACUGGAUGAGAGGAGGCAUUGUCCCAGUGAUGUGUUGUUGGCCUGAGUACCUUUUUACUUUCUGCAGUAAAAUGUUGUCUUUUAUUAUUAAUAUAAUAAUUAUGUUAUAUUGGUCAGUUCACAACUAACAAAGUCAUUUUGACCAGCCAGAGACUGUUUGAGGAGCAUGCUUCCCGGAGAACACCAAAUUGGCUCUGAGCCAUUUGUCAUCAUUGUUGUCAUUGUCUUCCUGUGGUUAUGAUCAUUAUUAAUAAUGACGAUCAUGAUCAUUAGGCUUAGAAAGAAAAUAAUGAUAAAAUGGCUCUAAUUAGGCAUUCUAAAUACGUCAUGUUCUUAUCAGUAUGUUGUCUAGUAUUAAUUAUAAUCACUAUAAUCACUCUAACAAUAUGAACUUCUCCUGGAGUUUGUCUUCUGUGUGAUCAAAGCCUUGAAAGACGUGCUCUUGUUAGCUUUCCUGACAUUCUGGCAAAGGGGAUACAGAUUUCCAGUCAUGGCCCUUGUGUGGUGGACUAAGUAUGGACUAAAGGGGAUGUAAUAAAGAACUCUAGAAACCAAAACCAAAACACAGCCGAGUCAAUGGUGGGUAGACACAUUGUUGGGAGGUGUGUUUGAUGUGGUACAAUCCAAAAUGAAAUAGACUUCAGGAAGUUCAUUUUUACUUUUCUUUUUUUUUUUGGCACACUGGUGGCAUAUGGAAGUUCCCAGGCUAGGGGUUGAAUUGGAGCUACUGCUACCAGCCUAGGCCACAGCCACAGCAAUGCUGGAUCCAAGCCACAUCCGUGACUUUAGCUGUAGCUUGUAGUAACACCAGAUCCUUAAUCCACUGAGUAAGGCCAAGGAUUGAACCCACAUUCUCAUGGAGAUUGUGUCAGGUUCUUACCCACUGAACCACAGUGGAAAUUCCCAAUUCUACUUUCAACUUGAACAUUGCCUCUGCCAUUUCCCAGCUCUGUAACGUUGAGAAAUUGCUUUGCCUCUCUGAGCGUAGUGAUUAGUAAUACUUUAUCUUCCUAUUGCAAGUAGAAGCCACACGUAUCUUCCUGUUUCACAGCACAUUUAGUUGAAUGAAAUAAUGCAUGGAGCCAAGAGUAAAGUCCCAGGUUUUGAACUCUUGGAAGAAACCAAGUGAAUGUUCACUCCAGCCCUUGGGACAGAACUUGACACAUGGUUAGUUUGUACUUAAUGGCUGUUGGUUGAGUGCGUAAAGACAGCAAAGGAUUGAUGGCUUUAUAUAAUUUAUAGCUAGAAGUUUUAAAUAGAAUAAUUAAUUUCUGGUACUUAAUUUUCUGAGAUGACUGAGUCUGAGGUGCUCUGCCUCUUGUCCCAGCCCACCCGUCAGCUCUCUCUGCCCUGGAUAGGGACUUAUGGAAGCAGCUUGUGGGGGAAAAGGAGGUCUCUGGACUCUUGGCAUUAAACAAGAUGAGCACAUGUGAAGAUAGCCUGCCAUUACAGCCAUUAGUACGAUGGGUUUUGUCCCUGAGUUCACCCACCCCCUCUCCAUGUGAUUGCAGCCCUUCCUCCAGGGACUGGCUGCCCCUUCAAGGCUACCCCUGAGCCCAGGCCCUUUCUUUAACUUAACUUAACCAACAUCCACUGUGACUCGGACCUGGGCUUGGAGGAUCUCCUGUUUGAAGAAUCUUGAAGUUGGCUAAAAAUGGCAGAGUCUCUUAGCUAUUCCAACAUCCCCCUGUUCUGUAUGAUUUAUGCUAUCAUUUGCAUUUAGAAGGAGAAGGACGUGCCCAUCAAAGGUAAGCUCAGUUUCAUUUCAUUUAUUGGAACUUCCUCAUUAUUAACGAAACUAAUGAACUCUUAGUUGUCUUAGUUGUCACCAAGACUUAACAUGCUGCUAUCUGACUUCAUGUGCCCCGACCUCAUUUUUUCUUUCAAGGCCAAAGAUGUUCUAGGGUAGUCACAUCUAUAGGGCAUUUGCAGGCCUGGCUAUAAGUCCUUUUCUGCAAUUGGGCAUGCUCUUGUUUUCCAUUAGAGCAGUGGUCUCAGAGGCCAUGUGUGUGAGGUAGAAGGAUCCUGGAUCCUCUUGGAGGAGAGGAACUAAGAUACAACCUGAGACUGUGCCAGGAGAAAGAAGUAAAGCUCUGUUACCAUAGGCAUCUGAGAUGUGGAGUUUUUUGUUACAGCAGCUAGUGCAUUACCCUGACUACUGUGAAAUUAAUAAACACAGACAGAGAAAUUCCUGGAAAGCAGGAUGUUGAAGAGAUGGGCAUUCCAGGGAGAGAGACGUUCCAUUUUGUUCUUUCACUGUCAUCCUGAGUAUCUGUCUGGGAGUUAGCAGUGUGUUGACCCUCCCAUGAUUCCCACGGAUAAAAGGCGGCAGAGCCUGAGGUCCCAGGAAGGCCAGCUCUUCCGCUGGGCCCACAUUCUGCCAUGGGCUCGCUUGCCAGCCAGCUUCUUUGGAAGGCACAUCACCCUUGAUCCCAUCCCUGAUCUUGCUCGAGGGGCUUGGCCAAGGGGUGGAGGCCUGGACCCGCAGAGCCCAGGGGUAAGCUGGCCCUGAUUUCAGGCUAAAGAAUGCUCCACGGGCCCCUUUGCUGGUUGCCAUCUCUCGGCUUUGUGUGCGGGGAAACAUCUUGAACAAAAUGUCACGGAGAGAGCAUCUCAGCCGUGUCCUGCUGACUGAGGACAUGGGCUGCCGGGUUUGCCAUCUGCCUGCAGCCUCUCCGAGGUAAUUAUAUCAGAGUCUCUCAAGUCCUGGAACAAGGUGGAUGUCAGAUGCACUUUUCUUCCUCUAGGAAGGUAAUUUUCAUUUUCUCACUUCAUUUGGAGCUGCAUAUCGUUAUUGUCUUCAGGUGUGAGAGAGGUGCAGGGAGAGAGGAUGGGGGAGUGUGUGGAGUGGGAAAGAGGAGGAGCACCGUGGUGGGGGGAGUAGGACCAGGGAUGAUGUGAUGGUGGCGAGAGUGGGAGGGGCUCAACCACCCCUGAGCCUAAAGAGGGGCACAGAUACUAAUUUUGGCAACUUUUAAUUAAAGGAUAGGCUGGGAAAAUUCCAUUAUUAUUACUGCUCAGCUUUCUGACUGGAGUGGCUUAACAUCUCCUUUAUUAGUGUAAUUGUCUGAAAGUAUUUUCUUUAUUCUCAGAUUGCUAAUUUGCAUCAGGAAAAGGAAAUGUGUCUGAUAGCUCCUGAAGGAAAAUGUUUUCAGAAUUGCCAAACAUGGAGCAUUUAUGCUUUUUCCUCUGCCCCUCGUAUGAUCGCUUUUUGUUUGGAGUGAGAAGAAGAAGAGGAUUCAGGUGUAAGCAUGAAGGAUGCUUAACGAGACUGUCACCUGUAAAGCUAGCCCUCAGUGGGAAUGUGUUUUAAACAUGGGGCUUCUCCAAGUCCUUCCCCAAUGCAUCUUCCCUAGGAUAUGGGUCUUAGGACACUUCUGGGGAAGGAGGGGUGGCAGCAUCUCUUCCUUAUGGAAUUAACUAUGAAAUUUGUAUAACGAAGGCUAGUGGCCAAGACCACAAGGUUACUGGAUGCCAGGCAGCUGUCCAGGUGCCCUUGGCUCUGUAACAAAUGUUUGUAGACAUUAAAAGUGUGCUUUGAAAUAUUAAUUUUAUUGUUUUCACAGCAGAUGUACAAAUUAGACUUUAUUUUAUUUUUGUAUCAUUUUACAGUCAGAGAAAUUGAAUUUUAUAAAGAAAAAAUGCUUUAGCCAUGGUUGUCUAAUAAGUAGACCAAAAAAGUCCCUAUUUUCUUGGGAUUGAGGGAGGUCCUGGGACAUGGGACUUUCAAUUUUAAAGUGAAGUGAGUCUUGGGUAAAAUGAGAUGGGCUGGUCACUUUACUAGAAAAUUCAAUUCUGGGUCUUAAGAUCCAAGGACAGGAUUCUUUUUUGUUUCUCACAACUUCCCCCAGUAUAUGCACUAUAUUUUACAGUGUUAGUUGGCUUUAUUUAGGCAUUUAUUAUUUUGCACAUAGACACUAACUACCCUGCCAGUGAAGUAAUAUGGCUGAUCUAGAGCUGUACAGGAGAAUAAACACACCAAAUAUUAACAAUACUGAUUUGUGCCUUUUGAAGAAUUGCCUUUGAGAGGUUGCAUAUUACUCCAUUGCUCAAAAUGUGCUUGGAAAUUCCAGAUCUUGCAAUUUGUCUCUAGACCCAAUUUUUAGGGCCAUUCAAGAGGCAAAGUGUUACUAUUUUGUGGCAAAAUUGCUUUUUAGUAAUUUGCCUCUUGUUUCACCUCUCUUGCUCUUCUAGUUUGGGCCAGGAAAUAUUUUCUUGUUUACCUAUCUUUAUUAUGUGUUUUUAUAUCCUUGUACCAGCCUGUUUCAAUUGCCAUGUAUCUAUAGCAGUAGAAACUGUGGUUGAUUAUAAGUGCAGAUGGUGUUAGGUGACCAACAUGGUAACCCAUUGAAUUCUGAAGAUGCCAUGUACUGUAAUAUUUGAUGUUAUUCAAGUAUGAUAUAAAAUAUUUGAUAAAAUAUUUUAAAAUUAGCAAGGAUUUAGAAUUGGGUUAAUAAUAAGUAAGCAUUGUUACAGUGCUAUAAAUGAAACCCCAGGAAGGUUUCAGAAAACAUGUUUAGCAGGAUGUACAAGAAGAGAACCACAGUCACAGGACAUGAUGGCAGUAGAUGGGACAUUUUUUAUUUAAUUAAAAAGGAAGCCAGUAGGGAAUAUUAAUUUCUAUUUAAAUUUAGUAGAAAUAUUACAAAAGCCUAUGCAAGAAUGCUCAAAAAAAGGAGCAUUGAAAAGAUAAGGAGUAUUAAAUAUUAAAAUAUCACUUUUUAGCCUUGUGUUUCUACAUAGCAUUAGGUCAAGUAUUAGGUUGAACAAAUAGAAGUUUUUUUGGUCAGAAGUGGUUGAAUAUUGGCAGUUGUAUAUGGUUCAAACUAACGUGACUAUUUCUAUCUUGUUGAAGGAGAAAUAGAAUUGAGACAGUGAGUUAUUAGAAGCACAGGGCAGAGAGCUCUUCUGAUCCCCAAUCUAGAGAAUUAUCUGAUUUUUCUCUUUUGUAGUUCCAGCUCCAGUGGCUCUCAUAGAGCAAAAACUUUAUAAAUGUAUGUGGUGGUUUUUGAAAAAUGGUCAAAAAUUUGUUGACAUUCUUCCCAUCAGUACAUAGAAUCUAUGUCCUUACCUCUUGAAUCAGGCAGUCUUAUGAUUCUUUUUCAAAACAAACAAAUUUUUAUUGAAACAUUAUUGAUUUACUUUGCUGUGUUCAUUUCAGGUGUACAGAGAAGUUAUUCAUUUAUACAUAUGUUUCUAUAUAUAUUUUCUUUUUUAGAUUCUUAUCAAUUAUAGUUUAUUAUAAGAUAUUGGGUAGAUUUCCCUGUGCCAGACAGUAGGUCCUUGUUGUUUAUCCAUUUCAUAUACAGUAGCAUAUAUCUGUUACUCCCCAACUCCUAAUUUAUCCCUCCCUCACCCCUUUCCCUCUUUCAUGACCGUAAGUUUAUUUCUACGUCUGUGAGUCUAUUUCUACUUUGCAAAUAGGUUCAUUUGUAUAUUUUUUAGAUUCCACAUCUAAAUGAUAUGUCUUUCUUUGUCUGACUUAGUAUGAUCAUUUCAGGUCCAUCCAUAUUGUUGUAAAUGGCAAUAUUCCAUUCUUUUUUAUGACUGAGUAGUAUUCCAUUGUAUAUAUGUACCACAUCUUCUUUAUCCAUUCAUCUGAGCACGGACAUUUAGGUUGCAUCUGAGUCUUGGCUAUUUUAACUUAUGAUUAUCUUGACC
Molecule: long non-coding RNA, 6551 nt
Filed under: Sus scrofa (pig)
Lineage: Eukaryota; Metazoa; Chordata; Mammalia; Artiodactyla; Suidae
Description: lncRNA (ENSSSCG00030005824.1)
Source: RNAcentral